UGCGGUAACUUUACUGACAGUGUUACACCCGUUCCCAUACCGAAUACGGAAGUUAAGCCUGUCAAGGUCGAUGGUACUUUAGUCGCAAGGCUAUGGGAGAGUAGAACGUUACCGCUU
This 117-nucleotide ribosomal RNA is filed under the name Candidatus Omnitrophota bacterium. Lineage: Bacteria; Pseudomonadati; Candidatus Omnitrophota. The record is from RNAcentral.